RNAcentral lists this ribosomal RNA (1472 nucleotides) under metagenome. Its description in RNAcentral is "bacterial SSU rRNA". It matches the Rfam family "Bacterial small subunit ribosomal RNA". The record is from RNAcentral.
AGAGUUUGAUCAUGGCUCAGAUUGAACGCUGGCGGCAUGGCUAAAACAUGCAAGUCGAACGCGAAAGCGGACUUCGGUCCGCGAGUAGAGUGGCGAAAGGGCGAGGAAUACAUUUCUAACGUACCCCGAGGUCAGGGAUAGCCCACCGAAAGGUGGAUUAAUACCUGAUGACCCCGCGAUUUCAUAUGAUUUUGCGGGCAAAGAUUUAUUGCCUUGGGAUCGGGGAAUGUGCUAUCAGGUUGUUGGUAAGGUAACGGCUUACCAAGCCUAAGACGGCUAGCGGGUGUGAGAGCAUGACCCGCCGCAUCGGGACUGAGACACUGCCCGGACUCCUACGGGAGGCUGCAGUAACGAAUAUUGGACAAUGCGCGAAAGCGUGAUCCAGCAAUGCCGCGUGGAGGAUGAAGCCCCUCGGGGUGUAAACUUCUGUCAGGGUUUAGAAACACAAUGAUCAAACCCAGAGGAAGAGCCGGCUAACUCUGUGCCAGCAGCCGCGGUAAUACAGAGGGCUCGAGCGUUAAUCGGAAUAACUGGGCUUAAAGCGUGCGCAGGCGGAUCUGCAAGCAUCAUGUGAAAUCCCACGGCUCAACCGUGGAACUGCAUGGUGAACUUCAGGUCUUGAGGUCGGUAGAGGUUGUCGGAACUCUAGGUGGAGCGGUGAAAUGCGUAGAUAUCUAGAGGAACGCCUAAGGUGAAGACAGGCAACUGGGCCGAUUCUGACGCUCAGGCACGAAAGCGUGGGUAGCGAACGGGAUUAGAUACCCCGGUAGUCCACGCCGUAAACGAUGUGUACUAGAUUGUGGAGGUUCUGACACCAUCACAGUCGAAGCGAAAGCACUAAGUACACCGCCUGGGGAGUACGGUCGCAAGAUUAAAACUCAAAGGAAUUGACGGGGGCUCACACAAGCGGUGGAGCAUGUGGCUUAAUUCGAAGCAACGCGAAGAACCUUAUCCUGGGUUUGACAUGUAUGGAUUAGCUACCUGAAAGGGUAGUGACGAGUUUACUUGGAACAUACACAGGUGCUGCAUGGCUGUCGUCAGCUCGUGCUGUGAAGUGUCGGGUUAAGUCCCUUAACGAGCGAAACCCCUGCCGCUAGUUGCCAGCGAGUAAUGUCGGGGACUCUAGCGGGACUGCCGGUGUCAAACCGGAGGAAGGUGGGGAUGACGUCAAGUCCUCAUGGCCUUUAUGCCCAGGGCUGCACACGUGCUACAAUGGCAAGUACAAAGCGACGCGAUACCGCAAGGUGGAGCAAAUCGCAAAAAGCUUGCCCCAGUUCGGAUUGUGGUCUGCAACUCGACCACAUGAAGGUGGAAUCGCUAGUAAUCGCGUAUCAGCUACGACGCGGUGAAUACGUUCCUGAGCCUUGUACACACCGCCCGUCAAGUCAUGGGAGCCGGUAGUACCCGAAGCCGCACCGAUUCAGGUGUGUCUACGGUAAGAUCGGUGACUGGGACUAAGUCGUAACAAGGUA